CAAAAUAUAGCUUAAAAAANGCACUUCGCUUACACCGAAUAGAUGUCUAUUAAACCCAGACUAUUUUGA
RNAcentral lists this transfer RNA (69 nucleotides) under Pristimantis bicantus. RNAcentral describes it as "tRNA-Val". It matches the Rfam family "tRNA". Rfam says of the family: Transfer RNA (tRNA) molecules are approximately 80 nucleotides in length. The record is from RNAcentral. Lineage: Eukaryota; Metazoa; Chordata; Amphibia; Anura; Strabomantidae.